AAUCAACGCUGGCGGCGUGCCUAACACAUGCAAGUCGAACGAGAAAGUGGAGCAAUCCAUGAGUAAAGUGGCGACCGGGUGAGUAACACGUGACUAACCUACCUCCGAGUGGGGAAUAACUCCGGGAAACCGGGGCUAAUACCGCAUAACAUCGCGAGAUCAAAGCAGCAAUGCGCUUGGAGAGGGGGUCGCGGCUGAUUAGCUAGUUGGCGGGGUAAUGGCCCACCAAGGCGAAGAUCGGUAUCCGGCCUGAGAGGGCGCACGGACACACUGGAACUGAAACACGGUCCAGACUCCUACGGGAGGCAGCAGUGGGGAAUUUUGCGCAAUGGGGGAAACCCUGACGCAGCAACGCCGCGUGGAGGAUGAAGCCCUUUGGGGCGUAAACUCCUUUCGACCAAGACGAUAAUGACGGUACUGGUGGAAGAAGCACCGGCUAACUCUGUGCCAGCAGCCGCAGUAAG
Molecule: ribosomal RNA, 464 nt
Filed under: uncultured bacterium
Lineage: Bacteria
Description: bacterial SSU rRNA
Rfam family: Bacterial small subunit ribosomal RNA
Source: RNAcentral